Molecule: ribosomal RNA, 482 nt
Filed under: Globigerinoides ruber
Lineage: Eukaryota; Foraminifera; Rotaliida; Globigerinidae
Description: bacterial SSU rRNA
Rfam family: Eukaryotic small subunit ribosomal RNA
Source: RNAcentral
AUUUGACUCAACACGGGAAAUCUUACCGGGUCCGGACGUAUCGAGGAUUGACAGAUAGUUAUACAUGCCCUACAAGCAAGUAGGAGUCAGGUUUUAAACCUAAUGGCUCUUUCAUGAUUAUAUGAUAGGUGGUGCAUGGCCGUUCUUAGUUCGUGGAGUGAUCUGUCUGCUUAAUUGCGUUUCAAAUUUUUAACCGAGGACCGGGUUUUGGUUUGGCUAGUGGUCCUACGAUGACUGUGAACUGUCAUGUCUUCGGAUGUACGACUAUCGGUCUAGGAUCACAUGACUUGCCCCUGGGACUCUUUUGAACGCAACGGACGUGAUUGCAACCCCUUGUUGAGAUUAGAGAUAGUCUCGAUAUUCACUGGCCAAACUGGCUGCUUUAUGCAGUCUUGUUGAAUGGUGGAUAAACUCGGGGGACUGCUGACUAUAACCAUUUCUCAAAACAGAGGAAGGUUGCGGCAAUAACAGGUCUGUGAUGC